RNAcentral lists this ribosomal RNA (133 nucleotides) under Shewanella sp. LC2. Its description in RNAcentral is "partial 23S ribosomal RNA". The stretch from base 1 to 114 matches the Rfam family "Bacterial large subunit ribosomal RNA", at positions 2815 to 2925 of the family's 2925-position model. Lineage: Bacteria; Pseudomonadati; Pseudomonadota; Gammaproteobacteria; Alteromonadales; Shewanellaceae. The record is from RNAcentral.
UGGACUAUAAGUCCACUAAAGAGCCGUUCGAGACUAGGACGUUGAUAGGUCAGGUGUGUAAGCGUUGUGAGGCGUUGAGCUAACUGAUACUAAUGACUCGAGAGGCUUAACCAUACAACCCAGAUGGGUUUUG